UACGUAGGGUGCAAGCGUUGUCCGGAAUUAUUGGGCGUAAAGGGUAGGUAGGUGGUCUCAUUUGUCUGGGGUGAAAGCCUUGAGCUUAACUCAAGAAGUGCCCCAGAAACGGUGAGACUAGAGUCCUGGAGAGGGUCGUGGAAUUCCCGGUGUAGCGGUGAAAUGCGUAGAUAUCUGGAGGAAUACCGGUGGCGAAGGCGGCAUCCUGGACCGGCAUUGACGCUGAGGAGCGAAAGCCAGGGGAGCAAACGGG
Molecule: ribosomal RNA, 253 nt
Filed under: uncultured bacterium
Lineage: Bacteria
Description: partial 16S ribosomal RNA
Rfam family: Bacterial small subunit ribosomal RNA
Source: RNAcentral